This 60-nucleotide transfer RNA is filed under the name Exema canadensis. RNAcentral's name for it is "tRNA-Ser". The record is from RNAcentral. Lineage: Eukaryota; Metazoa; Arthropoda; Insecta; Coleoptera; Chrysomelidae.
GAAGUAAUAUAAUGUAAGCUUCUAACUUACAAAAAAGCGAUAAAACUCGUUUAUACUUCU